CGAGCGGCGGACGGGUGAGUAAUGCCUAGGAAAUUGCCCUGAUGUGGGGGAUAACCAUUGGAAACGAUGGCUAAUACCGCAUAAUGCCUUCGGGCCAAAGAGGGGGACCUUCGGGCCUCUCGCGUCAGGAUAUGCCUAGGUGGGAUUAGCUAGUUGGUGAGGUAAAGGCUCACCAAGGCGACGAUCCCUAGCUGGUCUGAGAGGAUGAUCACCCACACUGGAACUGAGACACGGUCCAGACUCCUACGGGAGGCAGCAGUGGGGAAUAUUGCACAAUGGGCGCAAGCCUGAUGCACCCAUGCCGCGUGUGUGAAGAAGGCCUUCGGGUUGUAAAGCACUUUCAGUCGUGAGGAAGGCGGUAUAGUUAAUAGCUGUAUUGUUUGACGUUAGCGACAGAAGAAGCACCGGCUAACUCCGUGCCAGCAGCCGCGGUAAUACGGAGGGUGCGAGCGUUAAUCGGAAUUACUGGGCGUAGAGCGCAUGCAGGUGGUUUGUUAAGUCAUAUGUGAAAGCCCGGGGCUCAACCUCGGAAUAGUCUUUGAAACUGGCAGACUAGAGUACUGUAGAGGGGGGUAGAAUUUCGGGUGUAGCGGUUAAAUGCGUAGAGAUCAGAUGGAAUACCGGUGGCGAAAGCGGCCCCCUGGACAGAUACUGACUCUCAGAUGCGAAAGCGUGGGGAGCAAACGCGAUUAGAUACCCUGGUAGUCCACGCCGUAAACGAUGUCUAC
Molecule: ribosomal RNA, 728 nt
Filed under: uncultured Vibrio sp.
Lineage: Bacteria; Pseudomonadati; Pseudomonadota; Gammaproteobacteria; Vibrionales; Vibrionaceae
Description: bacterial SSU rRNA
Rfam family: Bacterial small subunit ribosomal RNA
Source: RNAcentral